AAAAAUUAAAAAAAUAAAAUUCUGUUUUAAUGCAUACUUGAAUCCUUCACUAACAUAUGAUGAAGGACAAAGAGGUUUGGAACCUUUGUUGUCUCCGUUUUUCUAAAGAAUAGCGAUUUCAUAGUGGUUAGUAAACCAAUUUAGGGAGUAUUAUGAAGUUUUACUAAAUUAAUUGACAACAAAUUUAAACUAUGUCCAUGAACCAUUAAAGAGAGUUUAAUAUACAUUAAUACAAAUGUAUAAUGUGUUUAAAAAUUUUAAAACUACACUAAAAAUCAUAGGCUUCGAUAUAUAGAGCAUUUACAGAAAAAUUAAAUAUUUUCGUAUGGGUUAACCCAUAGAUUUUGAGAAAAAAAA
Molecule: long non-coding RNA, 357 nt
Organism: Brassica rapa (field mustard)
Lineage: Eukaryota; Viridiplantae; Streptophyta; Magnoliopsida; Brassicales; Brassicaceae
Source: RefSeq, a predicted model, not a curated record